AGGGCUUGGAGCAACCUGGGACAGUGGAAGGUGUCCUUGCCCAUGGCGGGGGGUGGAACUGGAUGAGCUCUAAAAUCCCUUUCAACCCAAACCAUUGUAAGAUUCUAUGAAAUAAUAGAUUUGGAAUUGCCCUAGAUGGAUGCACUAGCUGUGAUAGAAUUCUAACAGUAGCAGUAGUAAAGUGUUAGCUCAGAUAAUAAUAAUCAUAAUCAUUUUAUGCAGAAGCUUAUAAUGAAUGCUUGGGAGGAGGGAGAGGAGACUAGUAGCCCAUCAACUGUUUCUGAGGUCCUUUUGGGUCUUCCUCCUAACUAGGUGAAAUUUUUAUCCUCCUUAUAUAUACCCCAGUCUUAUCCCCCUCCUCUUUCUUCACAUAUAGCAUGAUCUAAGCAGAGAGCAACGUAAUACAGUAAUAAAUGUGAGACUAAGGUACUUAAUGAAGGCAGUUAGCAUAUGCAGGAUUUGUUGGGGUUUUUUUGUGUUUUUUGUUUUGUUUGUUUUUUUUGUUAUGGUGUCCUUCGAAGUUCUGGUCAUACAACUUUGUUCUCAUUUGCUUCAUUCUUCAAAGCAAGAGCAGGAUCAUUACAUCUCCACAGGACUUGGACUUGCUCCUUCAGGGCCUUUCCUGACGCCAGCUAUGCAGCUCUCCCUCCACAGAGAUAACACAGAGGGUACACAGCAUACACUGUGGAUAUUACGCCUCAGCCCUUGCUUGGCUCUUUGGUCAUCAUCCCACAGAAAGCAGUGCUGCGUGACAAGAACCUGGGCUCUGCUUCUGCCCUGGGGUCUGGGAAAAGCUCAGCGCAGAUAGCCUACAAUGGCCAGGACAAAAAUUGGUUCAUUUUAAAGAUGAAGGAUUUCCACAGUGUUUAUUUGACUUGGCUUGGCAGCAGUGCUCUGUUUACGACUGGAUAAGUAACUGCCACAUUAAAGAUUAUUAACUAGCUAUGCUUCAGUGGCCAAUAAAGCACUAAUCUUUUA
Molecule: long non-coding RNA, 978 nt
Organism: Motacilla alba alba
Lineage: Eukaryota; Metazoa; Chordata; Aves; Passeriformes; Motacillidae
Exons: 2
Source: RefSeq, a predicted model, not a curated record